AACGAACGCUGGCGGCAGGCCUAACACAUGCAAGUCGAGCGGACAUCUUCGGAUGUUAGCGGCGGACGGGUGAGUAACGCGUGGGAACGUGCCCUUUGCUUCGGAAUAGCCUCGGGAAACUGGGAGUAAUACUGGAUGUACCCUUUGGGGGAAAGAUUUAUCGGCAAAGGAUCGGCCCGCGUUGGAUUAGGUAGUUGGUGGGGUAAUGGCCUACCAAGCCGACGAUCCAUAGCUGGUUUGAGAGGAUGAUCAGCCACACUGGGACUGAGACACGGCCCAGACUCCUACGGGAGGCAGCGGUGGGGAAUCUUAGACAAUGGGGGAAACCCUGAUCUAGCCAUGCCGCGUGAGCGAUGAAGGCCUUAGGGUCGUAAAGCUCUUUCACCGGGGAAGAUAAUGACGGUACCCGGAGAAGAAGCCCCGGCUAACUCCGUG
This 435-nucleotide ribosomal RNA is filed under the name uncultured bacterium. RNAcentral describes it as "partial 16S ribosomal RNA". It matches the Rfam family "Bacterial small subunit ribosomal RNA", at positions 29 to 507 of the family's 1533-position model. The record is from RNAcentral.